Haliotis rubra (blacklip abalone) is the source of this 137-nucleotide long non-coding RNA. RefSeq lists it as uncharacterized. The record is from RefSeq and is a predicted model, not a curated record. The transcript has 3 exons. Lineage: Eukaryota; Metazoa; Mollusca; Gastropoda; Lepetellida; Haliotidae.
GGUAAGGUAAUGCUAUGAAAAGGCGCGAAAAUUAUGUAUCGCGAUACGUAUCGUAUCGUGACCUUAGAAUCGUGAUACGUAUCGUAUCGUGAGAUUGGUGUAUUCGUGACACCCCUAGUUUUAAAUCACUAUAAAAC